Molecule: ribosomal RNA, 502 nt
Filed under: uncultured Glomeromycotina
Lineage: Eukaryota; Fungi; Glomeromycota
Description: partial small subunit ribosomal RNA
Rfam family: Eukaryotic small subunit ribosomal RNA
Source: RNAcentral
CCAAUAGCGUAUAUUAAAGUUGUUGCCGUUAAAAAGCUCGUAGUUGAAUUUCGGGAUUCGUCCAUUGGUCAGGCUUAACUGUCUGUACUGGUGUGUCGGAUUUCUACCUUCUGAAGAACCUUUAUGCCAUUAAUUUGGUGUGUUGGGGAAUCAGGACUGUUACUUUGAAAAAAUUAGAGUGUUUAAAGCAGGCUAACGUCUGAAUACAUUAGCAUGGAAUAAUGAAAUAGGACGGUACGGUUCUAUUUUGUUGGUUUCUAGGAUCGCCGUAAUGAUUAAUAGGGAUAGUUGGGGGCAUUAGUAUUCAAUUGUCAGAGGUGAAAUUCUUGGAUUUAUUGAAGACUAACUACUGCGAAAGCAUUUGCCAAGGAUGUGUUCAUUAAUCAAGAACGAAAGUUAGGGGAUCGAAGACGAUCAGAUACCGUCGUAGUCUUAACCAUAAACUAUGCCGACUAGGGAUUGGACGAUGUUAAUUUUUUAAUGACUCGUUCAGCACCUUACG